AUACGUAGGUGGCAAGCGUUAUCCGGAAUUAUUGGGCGUAAAGAGUGAGCAGGCGGUUAAUUAAGUCUGAGGUUAAAGCGUGGGGCUCAACCCCAUAAAGCCUUGGAAACUGAUUGACUCGAGUACGGGAGAAGUGAAGGGAACUCCAUGUGUAGCGGUGAAAUGCGGAGGGAUAUGGAAGUACACCAGUGGCGAAGGCGCGUCACUAACCCAAAACUGACGCUCAGUAACGAAAGCGUGGGUAGCAGAUAAGAUUAGAUACCCUAGUAGUCCACGCGGUAUUCGAUGACAGAUAAAUAAUGCCGCCAGGGAGUGUUGAAGGUAACACAAUAAGUGUUACCGCUGGGGACCUACGUAGUAAGGCGGAUACUGAAACGAAUUGACGUGU
This 388-nucleotide ribosomal RNA is filed under the name uncultured bacterium. Its description in RNAcentral is "partial 16S ribosomal RNA". It matches the Rfam family "Bacterial small subunit ribosomal RNA", at positions 523 to 918 of the family's 1533-position model. The record is from RNAcentral.